RNAcentral lists this ribosomal RNA (221 nucleotides) under Pseudomonas sp. Lake-F128. RNAcentral describes it as "partial 16S ribosomal RNA". It matches the Rfam family "Bacterial small subunit ribosomal RNA", at positions 240 to 460 of the family's 1533-position model. The record is from RNAcentral. Lineage: Bacteria; Pseudomonadati; Pseudomonadota; Gammaproteobacteria; Pseudomonadales; Pseudomonadaceae.
AUUAUCUAGUUGGUGAGGUAAUGGCUCACCAAGGCCACCAUCCGUAACUGGUCUGAAAGGAUGAUCACUCACACUGGAACUGACACACCGUCCACACUCCUACGGGAGGCAGCAGUGGGGAAUAUUGGACAAUGGGCGAAAGCCUGAUCCCGCGAUGCCGCGUGUGUGAAGAAGGUCUUCGGAUUGUAAAGCACUUUAAGUUGGGAGGAAGGGUUGUAGAU